Non-coding RNA from Podarcis muralis (Common wall lizard), 3325 nucleotides. The record is from RefSeq and is a predicted model, not a curated record. Lineage: Eukaryota; Metazoa; Chordata; Lepidosauria; Squamata; Lacertidae.
UGGCUCCCUCGGCCAAUAAAGCGAGAUGAGUGCCGCAACCCCAGAGUUGGUCAGGGGUUCCUUUACCUUUAUAAUUUAUAAGCUAAACUUCCCCAAUCCCUCACCUGUUCCUUAUUAGGCUUGGUUACAUUUGUUACAUUGCACUUGCCAUGUUACUGCCCAUUCACUCAUUUCGGAGGGGACCUUUUGGAGACCCCUUUUUCACUUCACCCCCCCCCCCUACAAUGUACUAUCAUACUCAUCUUUGGCCACCUCACUGCUCUUUCCUCACGCUGGACUGUUGAUGAACAAGUUAAAAAGGAAGAAACCUCCUCUUUUCCCUCCCUGAUCCUUGUGACUCCCCGUUCCCCUCACCCCACACCAUUGGCCAUGCUGCCUGUGGCUGAUGGGAGUUGGAGUCCAAGGAAGUCAGGGGGGUUCCACAGGUUCUCCAUCCCUUCCCUACAGCACCCCAGACACACAGGCUGCUUCCCUGUUUGAAUAGCUUUGAAAUGCGAAAAGCGAGCGGCAAAGUGGAGGCAGUAAUUUAUUUGUGUCUUGAGACAAACAGAUGCCAACGAUAACAGGGACAUUUAUGGGGACCAGGAAAUGGGAACAGCCCCUGGUAAAGAGGGACAGUAAGAGUGCUUGCAUUUUGCUUUCAUGAUACCAGAGGCAGGUUGCCAGCCUGGCUCUAUAGGCAGCAGACAGCAUGCUGGCAAAGUGUGGCAAUGCCCUUCCCUUUUUCGUAUCCCAGCAGGUGCCCUGAUAGUAAACGGGAGCCAAGAGGCCUUUGCUUGCUGUUCACACUCUGGAGUUACAGAAGGGGUUAAAGAGCCCUUUGCUGGUAAGGAUGAGCCGAUGGGAUGAGGCUAAUUCUGCGAGCCUUUCAAUUCUUUCUUAGAAUCGCCCUGUUGAAAAUGAGGGACUGUGAGUAGGAAGGGCCACAAGAGGGGAGAAAGGGGAAACUCCCAAAACCUCUUGAGUUCCUGCCAUCUUCAGGAUGCUGCAAAGCCCACUCAGAAAGCCCACAAUUCCCAUUCAUGAUUCUAGUAUAGUGUCUUCCAAACGUGGGUCUCCAGCUGUUUUUGGACUACAGUUCCCAUCACUCCUGACCACUUGUCCUGCUUGCUAGUGAUGAUGGGAGUUGUGGUUCAUCCACAGGAGGAGACACAAAUUUGGUAAACACUGUUCUAGUCCACCUGCUGUCCACUCUACAAGAUAGACAAGACUUGGUACAGUAUAAUACUUUUUAUUUACUCUUGUGUGCCCUCCUUUUUUUCCAGCCAACAUCCAGCUAGUCAGUGAGUGCUCCGCUCUUCCCUCAUUUAUGCAAUUUAUGCAAACCCCUCCACACCCAAAUAUAUGCAAAUAUAUUUGGAUUUGCACCAACCAUACUCGGCCCAGGCUUCAUUGUCUCUUUUGCAGAAUUUUUGAGUCCUCUCCUUUUAAAAAACAAAUAUAUGCAGCUCACAGCAAGCUGCUGUUAUCUCAGAAGCCAGCUUUACCAGAGAGUGGCUGCCUCGUGGACCUACUAGACUGUCCAGUUUCUCAGGGCGGCUGUGAAGCUGAGAGAUCUUAUUUGAAGAUUUUAACAGUGGGUAGCAGGCUCACCAAGUCCUAGACUAGUCGGGUAGUGAAGAGGGGAGUAUUCUGCUGGUAUAAACAUCAUCAGAGUUGUACCGAUGGCUCAGAAGGGAGGACUCGAGAACACAUAGGGUGGUGGUCAACUAACUCCUUCUUGUAGGAGACCCAUUGAAGUUAACGAACCCAAGUUACCAUGUCCAUUAGCUUAAAUGGGUCUGCUUAGAGUAGGACUUGUGUUGAAUUCCACCCCUAGGAUCAGCCAUGUAGGACCUUAUUAGGUCGUUUUCACAGUCAUCAUAAUUACCGAAGCAAAGUCCAGGAAUCAUAAGUAACUCUUUUGGGAAUGUUCUUAUAAUACGUGGAUCUCCAAACAUCUCACAUAUGCUCCUAAUUUUAUACCAGCAGAGGUUGGGCAAGUAUCCUCGAGGAAUAAUUUGGGGGUUACUGCAGUGUCUGCCAAUUUGUUACCUAGAUGAAGUGGGGUGAGGGUGAUGUGUGAAAGGGGCCAGUGCCAAGCAGCCUGGUUUCCUCCUGUGCUUUGGGUGCCAAGCAGCCAGGGGAAUCAGUAGUCAGGCACUCUUGACUUCCAGGAGGGUGCUUGUGUGUGUGUGUGUGUGUGUUUGUGUGUGUGCAAAAGCCACAAUUUUGGAGCUGAUUUUCAGAAUUUUUGGAGUAAAAUUAGAACGCCUGGAGUCAAAGCGUGAUUUCCCACUUCAUGAACACACUUGAACUUGUAUCACACACCCUCUAAGCCAGACUGUUAAGCUCACCAUUUCAUACUUGGCUGCAAGAGACUGCAAGGUGGGUGGGGCUGGUGGGUGCAGGUCUGGGCCUCCUCAGAGGCGAGCAGAGACCCACAAAUUUGAGCCGGCCUUGGUAGCCAGCCAGAAUUUGCACUUGCCACUCGCUUUACUUCUCCAUGUAAUGGGGGAGAAAUGUCAUAAGUGCAAGACGGUCUGAGGACUCUGUCCUGUAUCUGAGUGGGGAUUUCACCAGAUUACAAAAAAUGGUGUCACCUGUGGAGGUUGUAUACUCAUAAAAACCCUCUACAAUUCCUUCACUCCUUAGCUCAGGUGUAAACCAGCAUCUCAGCAAGUACUAACCAUGGGAGUGAAAAUGAGGCUCCACUCAAAUUAUGAGGGAAAAGAUACAGGCUUAGUGAAAUCCACAAGUCCUACCCAUUGACUGUCCCAAAUUUAAGUCAAAUCAUGCCCCCAUGCUCCCCAUAGCCGUUUAAGAACAGUAGCUAAGGGAGUGUUCACAAAAAGGAAGGGCCACUGGCCCACUCUGCCUCCAGUUUAAUACAAGCACUGGCUCUGCUCCUACCACCAUCUGCCAGGCCUUUAACAAGACCUAAGUUUCACCUCUUUGUCAUUGUUGACAACCCAGUUAUGUAGUAAUUCUUUGUAGCUUUGUUUUAUUUCAACAUUUCUUCAGUCCUGGCUACUUGGAGGUUGACAGCCACUAGCAAAGUCUCUGCCAUAGUAGAAGGGAGAUUUCCUCCCACAAAGUCCUAACACCAAAGAGCAGAAAAGCAGUAUCAUCCAGUACCAUGUUUGUUCCUUGGGAUAAGGUUGCCCUUGUUCUUCGUCUAGCUAUUUGGUUAUGAUUCUGUUAUUCUAUUAUCUGAACAGGAGUGAGGAGCUAGCAGCCUGCAGGCCAGAUCUGUCCCACCCCCACAAGCCUUUCCUACUAGAAACUGAAUAUUGGGGCUGGCCCAGUUGGACAGUUUCCUUUUUAAAAAAGAAGUUGGAUUUUA